UACGUAGGGCGCAAGCGUUGUCCGGAAUUAUUGGGCGUAAAGAGCUCGUAGGCGGUUUGUCGCGUCUGCUGUGAAAACUCGAGGCUCAACCUCGGGCUUGCAGUGGGUACGGGCAGACUAGAGUGCGGUAGGGGAGACUGGAAUUCCUGGUGUAGCGGUGGAAUGCGCAGAUAUCAGGAGGAACACCGAUGGCGAAGGCAGGUCUCUGGGCCGCAACUGACGCUGGAGGAGCGAAAGCAUGGGGAGCGAACAGG
Molecule: ribosomal RNA, 254 nt
Filed under: uncultured bacterium
Lineage: Bacteria
Description: partial 16S ribosomal RNA
Rfam family: Bacterial small subunit ribosomal RNA
Source: RNAcentral